Molecule: long non-coding RNA, 461 nt
Filed under: Numida meleagris (helmeted guineafowl)
Lineage: Eukaryota; Metazoa; Chordata; Aves; Galliformes; Numididae
Description: lncRNA (ENSNMEG00000010613.1)
Source: RNAcentral
ACCCAGAAGCCAAGACUUGGCCUGUCCUGGAGACUUUUGCCUCUUCCCACUCUCCUAAUAAAAAGCUAUUUUUGUGAGGAACAACUUAGAGAAGUCUCUCUCAUACAGUAGUGUUAAAACUGAACAUGCUCCUUUGAGUUUACACCAGAAAGCGAGGAGGAGUAAAGAAGCGGCAAGAUGUUGGAACUAGAGAAGAGUGGACAAGAAGAGGGUCAAUAAUAACUGGAAUAAACUACAGAACUGUCAGGAGUCACCUAUUGUGAGACCUGUGAGAAGUCAUCUGUUGUUCCAAGCUGCAGUUUUACUCAGUGGAAAAAAAGAAAAGAAAAAAAAGAAGUCAUUUUGCAAGAUGGCAUCGUUACUACUGAAAGUUUUCUUUUAAUUAAAAGUAACUGGCAGUGACUUCAAAGAAGGAUAAUUAUACACAGAACUAUCUGUCAGGAGAUCACUACUUAUUGGCA